UAGGGAAUCUUCGGCAAUGGACGGAAGUCUGACCGAGCAACGCCGCGUGAGUGAAGAAGGUUUUCGGAUCGUAAAGCUCUGUUGUAAGAGAAGAACGAGUGUGAGAGUGGAAAGUACACACUGUGACGGUAUCUUACCAGAAAGGGACGGCUAACUACGUGCCAGCAGCCGCGGUAAUACGUAGGUCCCGAGCGUUGUCCGGAUUUAUUGGGCGUAAAGCGAGCGCAGGCGGUUAGAUAAGCCUGAAGUUAAAGGCUGUGGCUUAACCAUAGUAGGCUUUGGAAACUGUUUAACUUGAGUGCAAGAGGGGAGAGUGGAAUUCCAUGUGUAGCGGUGAAAUGCGUAGAUAUAUGGAGGAACACCGGUGGCGAAAGCGGCUCUCUGGCUUGUAACUGACGCUGAGGCUCGAAAGCGUGGGGAGCAAACAGGAUUAGAUACCCUGGUAGUCCACGCUGUAAACGAUGAGUGCUAGGUGUUAGACCCUUUCCGGGGUUUAGUGCCGUAGCUAACGCAUUAAGCACUCCGCCUGGGGAGUACGACCGCAAGGUUG
RNAcentral lists this ribosomal RNA (550 nucleotides) under uncultured bacterium. RNAcentral describes it as "bacterial SSU rRNA". It matches the Rfam family "Bacterial small subunit ribosomal RNA", at positions 355 to 896 of the family's 1533-position model. The record is from RNAcentral.